Molecule: long non-coding RNA, 533 nt
Filed under: Canis lupus familiaris (dog)
Lineage: Eukaryota; Metazoa; Chordata; Mammalia; Carnivora; Canidae
Description: lncRNA (ENSCAFG00000034082.3, ENSCAFG00845006543.1)
Source: RNAcentral
CUUGAUUUCUGUGGAGUCAUUUCUUCCCUUAGCAAGUGGUGGUUCUGGAAUUUCUGCUGCUUCAGCCUGUCGGGUGGGCCUAGAAAGGAUGCAAGGACCUGGAGCAUGGUGCAUCUGGUCACAUCCCUGCUCAGACUCCAGAUAUUUCGCUCAGCUGAGGGGAUAUGCCCGAGCAUGGUCUUAGCUCUGCCUCUGAGCUAUCUGAAAAUACCACCAGUGGCAGCACAUAGCCACCUUGCCAUCUGCCUUCCCCGCCUCCUGGUGACAUCUCUCCAUCACUGCCAUCAUUCCACUGGACUUAACCUUUAUAGCAAAAACACAGGAGUCCUGCUGGGGAUUUAGUUCUUGCUGUUCAUGGCUGUAUCAGUUGAAUCGGAAGCUUCCAAGUGGCCCUUCAUGCAGGAAGAUGUUUAUUCCCCACAGCAUACCAGCACCAAAUCCCAGGCCCUCAAUCUGUUUAGAAACCUGUAUCCCUACUUACCCAAAUAAAGAGGUCAGACCAGAUGUGGGAAGGAAAGUAAGACAGUUGUAAU